GCGGCCUGCCCGGGGUCCCUGCGCCCCGGCUGCGGUCACAAAGGGACGCGGUAGCGGAACGGCAUGGGAAGGCCGGCCGCAGAGGGUGAGAGCCCCGUACGCGAAACCCCGUCCCCCGCGGAAGGCCGACCCAGAGUAGGGCCGGGCACGUGAAACCCGGUCCGAAGCAGGGGGGACCACCCUCCAAGGCUGAACACUCUCCCGUGACCGAUAGCGAACCAGUACCGUGAGGGAAAGGUGAAAAGCACCCCGAGAGGGGAGUGAAACAGCGCCUGAAACCGUGCGCCCCCGAGCAGUCGGAGCAGUACAUACGUGACUGUGACGGCGUGCCUUUUGUAGAAUGAGCCAGCGAGUGGCCCUGUGCGGCGAGGUUAAGUUAGGAAACGAGCCGCAGCGAAAGCGAGCCUUUAAACGGGCGUGCAGUCGCACGGGGCCGACGCGAAGCCGGGUGAGCUAUCCUUGGGCAGGCUGAAGCGGGGGUAAGACCCCGUGGAGGGCCGAACCCACUUCGGUUGAAAACGGAGGGGACGACCCGAGGAUAGGGGUGAAAGGCCAAUCAAACCCGGAGAUAUCUCGUUCUCCCCGAAAUAGCUUUAGGGCUAGCCCCGGGGGUUCUCCCGCGGAGGUAGAGCACUGGACGGCCUAGGGGGCUUCACCGCCUGCCGAAGCCGACCAAACUCCGAAUACCGCGGGAUCAGACCCCGGGAGUCAGAAGGCGUGGGCUAAGCUGCGCCUUCGAGAGGGAAACAGCCCAGACCGCCCGCCAAGGCCCCCAAAUCCAUGUUGAGUGGCAAAGGAUGUGCGCUCGCCCAGACAGCCAGGAUGUUGGCUUAGAAGCAGCCAUGCAUUCAAAGAGUGCGUAACAGCUCACUGGUCGAGUGGGAGCGCGCCGACAAUACACGGGGCUAAGCAUGGUGCCGAAGCGGCGGGGCGCAGCGAUAAGCUGCGCCGGUAGGGGAGCGUUCCGCGCUGGGCGAAGCCGGAGGGGCGACCCCCGGUGGACGGCGCGGAAGCGAGGAUGCUGGCAUGAGUAGCGAGAGACGAGCGAGAAACUCGUCCGCCGCAAGCCCAAGGUUUCCUGGGCGAGGCUAAUCCCCCCAGGGUCAGUCGGGGGCUAAGGCGAGGCCGGGAGGCGUAGCCGAUGCGCAACGGGCGGACAUUCCCGUACCGCCUGCGGCGCGCCCGAGCCCGAGCGGCGACGCGGAAGGGCAUGCUGUGCGGGGUUCUGGACGUCCCCGUGAAAGCGCGUAGGCCGGGAGCCAGGCAAGUCCGGCUCCCUCGAAGGCCGAGACGCGAGACGAAGCCCCUUCGGGCGAAGCAGCAGAUCCCAUGCCGCCUAGAAAAACCGCGCGGGCGAGCGCCGCAGGCGCCCGUACCAAAACCGACACAGGUGGGCGGGUAGAGCAUACCGAGGCGAUCGGGGGAACCGUGGUCAAGGAACUCGGCACAAUGGCCCCGCAACUUCGGGAGAAGGGGUGCCGCCGGGCGUGGAGGGGCUCGCCCCCCGAGCGCAUGGCGGCCGCAGUGGAUAGGCCCAAGCGACUGUUUACCAAAAACACAGGACUCUGCCAAGCCGCAAGGCGACGUAUAGGGUCUGACGCCUGCCCGGUGCCGGAAGGUUACGCGGAGGGGUUAGCGCGAGCGACGCCCCGAAGCCAAGCCCCGGUAAACGGCGGCCGUAACUAUAACGGUCCUAAGGUAGCGAAAUUCCUUGUCGGGUAAGUUCCGACCUGCACGAACGGCGUAACGACUUGGGCGCUGUCUCGACCACGGACCCGGUGAAAUUGCAUUGUUCGUGAAGAUGCGAGCUACCUGCGGAAGGACGGAAAGACCCCGUGAACCUUCACUGCAGCUUGGCAUUGGCCGUUGGCCCGGAGCGUAGAGGAUAGGCAGGAGGCUUCGAAGCGGGGGCGCCAGCUCCCGUGGAGCCGACCUUGGAAUACUGCCCCCUUCGCGCCGGCGGCCUAACCCCGUCCGUCACCCGGGCGGGGGACCGUGCCAGGCGGGCAGUUUGACUGGGGCGGUCGC
This 2028-nucleotide ribosomal RNA is filed under the name human gut metagenome. RNAcentral describes it as "bacterial LSU rRNA". It matches the Rfam family "Bacterial large subunit ribosomal RNA", at positions 283 to 2286 of the family's 2925-position model. The record is from RNAcentral.